AAAGCUAUUGAUCUAGUUGAUGAAGCAGCUGCAAAACUGAAGAUGGAGAUCACUUCCAAACCUACUGCCCUUGAUGAAAUUGACCGUUCAGUAUUAAAAUUGGAGAUGGAGAAACUAUCUCUUACAAAUGAUACAGACAGAGCUUCAAAAGAUAGGUUGAACCGUCUUGAUGCAGAGUUGUCUCUGUUAAAGGAGAAACAAGCGGAGCUGACAGAGCAAUGGGAACAUGAGAAGACAGUCAUGACACGCAUUCAGUCGAUUAAGGAAGAGAUAGACAGGGUAAAUCU
This 287-nucleotide unclassified non-coding RNA is filed under the name Hevea brasiliensis (rubber tree). Lineage: Eukaryota; Viridiplantae; Streptophyta; Magnoliopsida; Malpighiales; Euphorbiaceae. The record is from RNAcentral.